Molecule: RNA transcript, 5143 nt
Organism: Vigna angularis (adzuki bean)
Lineage: Eukaryota; Viridiplantae; Streptophyta; Magnoliopsida; Fabales; Fabaceae
Gene name: myosin-1
Exons: 27
Source: RefSeq, a predicted model, not a curated record
UUUAAUAUUAAAGGGAAUAAGUCUUUUUCUUUAUUGAGUUUGUUUGAUCCCAUUAAUGGAUAAUUUAAAUAUUUUGGUUGUUUGUCUUACUUUUGGAGUUCAUUAUAUCAGAAGCUUCAGUUAUGGCUUCAACUACUAAAUGGGAUUGGGAGCUGGUAAAGAUAAUAACAACUUCCGGACCAGAAUCUGUCAUUUCACUGCCAGAUGGGAACUCCAGCUUAUCAUAGGUUUUAAAGGUGAAAGAGGAUAAGUUGGUGACAGCUAAUGCCGAGAUUCUUAAUGGAGUGGAUGACCUCAUGGAACUUAGUUAUUUAAAUGUACCAGCAGAUUUAUUCAACCUGCAAUAUAGGUACAACCAAGAUAUGAUCUAUAGGAACUUUUAGUGGGUGAGGCUCCGAAUUUAAGUGGUGAGGGUGGAGUCGGAAAGACCGAGACAGCAAAAAUAGCAAUGCAAUACUUGGUUGUCCUUGGAGGAGGAAGCGGAAUAGAGAACAAGAUAGUAAAAACUAAUCCAAUACUAGAAGCCUUUGGUUUCUUUCAAUUCAAUAUGGAUGCUAGUGGAUAUGCUCAGCUGGGAAUAGAAUGCACUCCUCAUUGCUUUGAUAAUAUGUUUGAAAAUUUUCAAACGAAGAUAAUUUAAUAUUAAAGGGAAUCAAUCUUUUCUUUAUUUAGUUUGUUUGAUCCCAUUAAUGGAUAAUUUAAAUUUUAUACUUGUUUGUCUUACUUUUUGAGUUCGUUAUAUCAGAUGCUUCCGUUAUGGCUUCAACUUCCAAAUGUGGAUUGGGAGCUGGUAAAGAUAAUAACAACAUACGGAGCUGAAUCUGUCAUUUCACUGCCAGAUGGGAAAGUUUUAAAGGUGAAAGAGGAUAAUUUGGUGCCAGCUAUUCCCGACAUUCUUAAUGGAGUGGAUGACCUCAUGGAACUUAGUUAUUUAAAUGUACCAGCAGAUUUAUUCAUCCUGCAAUAUAGAUACAACCAAGAUAUGAUCUAUACGAAAGCUGGGCCUGUUUUGGUUGCUGUAAAUCGCUUUAAGAAGUUCCUUUCUUUGGUAAUGACCAUAUUGAAACCUACAAGUGUAAGGCAAUUGAAAGUCGUCAUGUUUAUGCAAUUACCGACACAACCAUCCUAGAAAUAAUUUGAGUGGUGAGGGUGGAGUCGGAAAGAUCGAGACAGCAAAAAUAGCAAUGCAAUACUCUGCUGCCCUUGGUGGAGGAAGCGGAAUAGAGAACGAGAUAUUAAAGAGUAAUCCAAUACUAGAAGCCUUUGGUUUCUUUCAAUUCAAUAUGGAUGCUAGUGGAUAUGCUCAGCUGGGAAUAGAAUGCACUCCUCAUUGCUUUGAUAAUAUGUUUGAAAAUUUUCAAACGAAGAUAAUUUAAUAUUAAAGGGAAUCAAUCUUUUCUUUAUUUAGUUUGUUUGAUCCCAUUAAUGGAUAAUUUAAAUUUUAUACUUGUUUGUCUUACUUUUUGAGUUUGUUAUAUCAGAUGCUUCCGUUAUGGCUUCAACUUCCAAAUGUGGAUUGGGAGCUGGUAAAGAUAAUAACAACAUACGGAGCUGAAUCUGUCAUUUCACUGCCAGAUGGGAAAGUUUUAAAGGUGAAAGAGGAUAAUUUGGUGCCAGCUAUUCCCGACAUUCUUAAUGGAGUGGAUGACCUCAUGCAUCUUAGUUAUUUAAAUGAACCAGCAGUUUUAUUCAACCUGCAAUAUAGACAACCAAGAUAUGAUUUAUUUUCAAAAAGCCAAGCUGUUUCCAUUCAUUUUAAAGUAUACCCUUGUACUGCUUUGCUUACAAAUGAAGGGAAUCAAUCAUAAUUAUAAGAGGAACUUUUAUUGGGUGAGACUCCGAAUUUAAGUCGUGAGGGUGGAGUCGGAAAGACCGAGACAGCAAAAAUAGCAAUGCAAUACUUGGCUGCCCUUGGUGGAGGAAGCGGAAUAGAGAACGAGAUAUUAAAGACUAAUCCAAUACUACAAGCCUUUGGUUUCUUUCAAUUCAAUAUGGAUGCUUGUGGAUAUGCUCAGCUUGGAAUAGAAUGCACUCCUCGUUGCUUUUCUUUAUUGAGUUUGUUUGAUCCCAUUAAUGGAUAAUUUAAAUUUUUUGAUUGUUUGUCUUAGUUUUGGAGUUCAUUAUAUCAGAAGCUUCAGUUAUGGCUUCAAAUACCAAAUGGGGAUUGGGAGCUGGUAAAGAUAAUAACAACUUCCGGAGUUGAAUCUGUCAUUUCACUGCCAGAUGGGAAACUAAGUUACGCAACAUUGUUUGUCUCGACUGUUAAGUGCUUUUUGAUCUGAUUAAUUGUACACUCCACCCUAUCUUAGGUUUUAAAGGUGAAAGAGGAUAAUGUGGUGCCAGGUAGUCCGGACAUUCUUAAUGGAGUGGAUGACCUCAUGCAACCUAGUUAUUUAAAUGAAGCAGCAGUUUUAUUCAACCUGCAAUAUAGACACAACCAAGAUAUGAUCUAUACGAAAGCUGGGCCCGUUUUGGUUGCUGUAAAUCCCUUUAAGAAAGUUCCUGUUUUUGGUAAUGACUAUAUUGAAACCUACCAGUGUAAGGCAAUUGAAAGCCCUCAUGUUUAUGCAAUUACCGACACAACCAUCCUAGAAAUGAUUUGAGUGGUGAGGGUAGAGUCGGAAAGACCGAGACAGCAAAAAUUGCAAUGCAAUACUUGGCUGCCCUUGGUGGAGGAAGCAGAAUAGAGAACGAGAUAUUAAAGACUAAUCCAAUACUAGAAGCCUUUGGUAAUGGAAAAACAGUUUUUUUCAAUUCAAUAUGGAUGCUUGUGGAUAUGGUCAGCUGGGAAUAGAAUGCACUCCUCGUUGCUUUGAUAAUAUGUUUGAAAAUUUUCAAACGAAGAUAAUUUAAUAUUAAAGGGAAUAAGUCUUUUUCUUUAUUGAGUUUGUUUGAUCCCAUUAAUGGAUAAUUUAAAUAUUUUGGUUGUUUGUCUUACUUUUGGAGUUCAUUAUAUUAGAAGCUUCAGUUAUGGCUUCAACUACCAAAUGGGAUUGGGAGCUGGUAAAGAUAAUAACAACUUCCGGACCAGAAUCUGUCAUUUCACUGCCAGAUGGGAACUGAUGAGGGUGAAGUCGGAAAGACCGUGACAGCAAAAAUAGCAAUGCAAUACUUGGCUUCCCUUUGUGGAGGAAGCGAAACAGAGAAGGAGAUAUUAAAGACUAGUCCAGUACUAGACACAUUUGCUUCAACUACCAAAUGGGAUUGGGAGGUGGUAAAGAUAAUAACAACUUCCGGAGCUGAAUCUCUCAUUUCACUGCCAGAUGGGAAAGUUUUAAAUGUGAAAGACGAUAAUUUGGUGCCAGCUAAUCCCGACAUUCUUAAUGGAGUGGAUGAUCUCAUGGAACUUAGUUAUUUAAAUGUACCAGCAGAUUUAUUCAUCCUGCAAUAUAGAUACAACCAAGAUAUGAUCUAUACGAAAGCUGGGCCUGUUUUGGUUGCUGUAAAUCGCUUUAAGAAGUUCCUUUCUUUGGUAAUGACCAUAUUGAAACCUACAAGUGUAAGGCAAUUGAAAGCCGUCAUGUUUAUGCAAUUACCGACACAACCAUCCUAGAAAUGAUUUGAGAGGAGCUUUUAGUGGGUGAGACCCCGAAUUUAAGUGGUGAGGGUGGAGUCGGAAAGAUCGAGACAGCAAAAAUAGCAAUGCAAUACUCUGCUGCCCUUGGUGGAGGAAGCGGAAUAGAGAACGAGAUAUUAAAGACUAAUCCAAUACUAGAAGCCUUUGGUUUCUUUCAAUUCAAUAUGGAUGCUAGUGGAUAUGCUCAGCUGGGAAUAGAAUGCACUCCUCAUUGCUUUGAUAAUAUGUUUGAAAAUUUUCAAACGAAGAUAAUUUAAUAUUAAAGGGAAUCAAUCUUUUCUUUAUUUAGUUUGUUUGAUCCCAUUAAUGGAUAAUUUAAAUUUUAUACUUGUUUGUCUUACUUUUGGAGUUCAUUAUAUCAGAUGCUUCCGUUAUGGCUUCAACUACCAAAUGUGGAUUGGGAGCUGGUAAAGAUAAUAACAACAUACGGAGCUGAAUCUGUCAUUUCACUGGCAGAUGGGAAAGUUUUAAAGGUGAAAGAGGAUAAUUUGGUGCCAGCUAUUCCCGACAUUCUUAAUGGAGUGGAUGACCUCAUGCAUCUUAGUUAUUUAAAUGAACCAGCAGUUUUAUUCAACCUGCAAUAUAGACAACCAAGAUAUGAUUUAUUGCAGGAGAAGCUGAUAGGAAAACAUUUUGCAUGUAUUUCUUCUUCAAAUGCUGAAGAUACGACAUCAAUUGGAGUUAACCACAAUGGUCACGACCUCAAUCCUCAACUAUGUAAUCAUUUACUCUCUUUUCCUUUUGCGCAUUACUUUUCUCUAAAAUUGUUGUCUCAUGUUUUUAUGAUGGGCACCUACUGAGGUGGACAUGGUUGAUGGAUAUUUUAUUGAUUUAAAUUUGCUGACAUCUUUUGCAUGUAAAUCACACUAUAAUUUAUCUAUUUACUAUAUUUCUGGAGGGACACCUCUCUUUUGGAUUGGUGUGGGUGUUGGGCUUUCUGCACGGUUUUCUAUGUCUUUCAUUCCAAAGACACUGAUGUUAAGAAUGCUGAGGAGGAUGUACAACGGAUAACAAGUGGAAAGGACACUUAAAGAUUUAUACUACCAGGACCGUUACAGGGCUUAAACAUGCUCUGUCAUUAACUCAGUCUUCACAGCAAAAGACCCAACAGCAGAAAUCAAGUGCCACAGAAGAUUCACCGAUCAUUUCUGAAGAGUAUUCAUCCUCAGAAAGUGAAGCAGUGGAUCUGCAGAAAAAAAGAGAGGCCAAGAAUGAUAAUAAGAAGGUGGUGAAGAGGGGAAAAGAGAAGCACGUAAAACUAAAGUCCCUAAGGCGGUUAAGAAAAGAAAGAAAAAGUUGGCUUAAACACGCAAGACCAUAUAGAUAGGAAAGAGAACGAAUAAUGUCCCGAACAUGGAAGAAAGAUUCACAUGAUAAAACAAAAACAAUAAAGCAAGUGUGCCUGAAGACAUGUCCCAAAGCUUUCUACAACAAGAGAUGUUCUGGUUGCCUAAUAAUUCUUUCUUAAUAUUUAAGCCUUCAACACGAUCUACACCAAUAGAACAAGCCCAAUCAGGCUAACAUUUAUUGUUCAUAUUUAAAUACCAGAACGGAUGUUUUGUAUAA